GUUCCAGCAGCCUCUGUAAUACCGGCAGCCCAAGUGAUGGCCGCUGUUAUUGGGCCUAAAGCGUCCGUAGCUGGCCGACCAAGUCUCCCGGGAAAUCCACCCGCCCAACGGGUGGGCGUCCGGUAGAAACUGGCCGGCUUGGAACCGGAAGGCUCAGAGAGUACGUCCGGGGUAGGAGUGAAAUCCCGUAAUCCCGGACGGACUACCGAUGGCGAAAGCACUCUGAGAAGACGGCUUCGACAGUGAGGGACGAAAGCGCGGGUCUCAAACCGGAUUAGAAACCCCUGUAGUCC
RNAcentral lists this ribosomal RNA (293 nucleotides) under uncultured bacterium. Its description in RNAcentral is "partial 16S ribosomal RNA". It matches the Rfam family "Archaeal small subunit ribosomal RNA", at positions 455 to 747 of the family's 1478-position model. The record is from RNAcentral.